RNAcentral lists this ribosomal RNA (460 nucleotides) under uncultured bacterium. RNAcentral's name for it is "partial 16S ribosomal RNA". It matches the Rfam family "Bacterial small subunit ribosomal RNA", at positions 338 to 795 of the family's 1533-position model. The record is from RNAcentral.
CCUACGGGUGGCAGCAGUGAGGAAUAUUGGUCAAUGGACGAGAGUCUGAACCAGCCAAGUAGCGUGAAGGAUGACUGCCCUAUGGGUUGUAAACUUCUUUUAUAUGGGAAUAAAAUGUUCCACGUGUGGGAUUUUGUAUGUACCAUAUGAAUAAGGAUCGGCUAACUCCGUGCCAGCAGCCGCGGUAAUACGGAGGAUCCGAGCGUUAUUCGGAUUUAUUGGGUUUAAAGGGAGCGUAGGUGGAUUGUUAAGUCAGUUGUGAAAGUUUGCGGCUCAACCGUAAAAUUGCAGUUGAAACUGGCAGUCUUGAGUACAGUAGAGGUGAGCGGAAUUCGUGGUGUAGCGGUGAAAUGCUUAGAUAUCACGAAGAACUCCGAUUGCGAAGGCAGUUCACUGGACUGCAACUGACACUGAGGCUCGAAAGUGUGGGUAUCAAACAGGAUUAGAUACCCCAGUAGUC